UUUUUUUUUGGCUCCAAUAUUAUUGUAUCUCCAACUAUUAUGUUUUCCACACCCCAAAGUGCCAGAAAUGUGCUCCAAAAUCAGUUUUACAUUCAUCAUAUGACUUGGGUAAAAUUUCCUGCCAUCAUAUCCCAGAGAAGAAACCAUAGGCUCGAAUAGCAACGUAGUCUACCAUUGCCUGCUAAGCAUUUUUGUCAUUUUUAUGAGUGGUAUUGUUGACUUGAUUCCACUGUUUUCUAAAAUCCUUCUCUAUAGCUAAUAGGUUGAAAAUUGAAAUUGUACAAUAAAUCAACCCUAUCGCAAUCCAUUUCAGAACUUCUUAUUAAAGGCUAA
This 333-nucleotide unclassified non-coding RNA is filed under the name Hevea brasiliensis (rubber tree). The record is from RNAcentral. Lineage: Eukaryota; Viridiplantae; Streptophyta; Magnoliopsida; Malpighiales; Euphorbiaceae.